CCUACGGGUGGCUGCAGUGGGGAAUAUUGGACAAUGGGCGAAAGCCUGAUCCAGCCAUGCCGCGUGUGUGAAGAAGGCCUUCGGGUUGUAAAGCACUUUCAGUGGGGAAGAAAGCCUUGGGGCUAAUACCCUCGAGGAAGGACAUCACCCACAGAAGAAGCACCGGCUAACUCCGUGCCAGCAGCCGCGGUAAUACGGAGGGUGCGAGCGUUAAUCGGAAUUACUGGGCGUAAAGCGCGCGUAGGCGGUCUGAUAAGCCGGUUGUGAAAGCCCCGGGCUCAACCUGGGAACGGCAUCCGGAACUGUCAGGCUAGAGUGCAGGAGAGGAAGGUAGAAUUCCCGGUGUAGCGGUGAAAUGCGUAGAGAUCGGGAGGAAUACCAGUGGCGAAGGCGGUCUUCUGGACUGACACUGACGCUGAGGUGCGAAAGCGUGGGUAGCAAACAGGAUUAGAUACCCCGGUAGUC
This 465-nucleotide ribosomal RNA is filed under the name Vreelandella stevensii. RNAcentral describes it as "partial 16S ribosomal RNA". It matches the Rfam family "Bacterial small subunit ribosomal RNA", at positions 338 to 795 of the family's 1533-position model. Lineage: Bacteria; Pseudomonadati; Pseudomonadota; Gammaproteobacteria; Oceanospirillales; Halomonadaceae. The record is from RNAcentral.